ACCGCCCCCACGUACGAGGAGGAAAGGUGAGGUGUGGCUAAGGACUUGUGGGCUGGAGGUCAAGGCUCCAGAGCUGCGUUCGGCACUCAUUUAAUUUCGAUCAUUAACUCACCGAUGUAUUUGAAAGCCUCCUCUUGCCCCAAGACUUUAUUGCUCAAAGGAGGUUGUUACAAAGCCAAGGUUUGACAUCCCUGAGUCAUAGAGAAAAUUCCCAUUGGCUGUCUAUUUUACAUAUGGCUCUAUCCUACAAGAGUGUUUAUCUACCCAACAGCUGGGCUGGGGGAGUAGUAGUGUUUCCAUAGCAUAAACGAGGACAGUGUGAUUCAGAGAGGCUGAGUAAACUGCCUGAUGCCACACAGCUACAUGCAGUGAUGAGUAUGAGUUUCAAACUUGGAUUUGUCUGGCUCCAAAAUCUCUGUCUUCCAUGCCAGUAAAACAAAGGAGGAGAAGAACAAGAGAAAGGUGCAUGGAACUAUUAGCUGGCUGCAAGAAAAUAAUGAGUAAAAAAGGAUAAUUAUAUAAAUUUUAAAAUGGUAUGAAUAAAAGAAAAAUAUGUGAACACUUGG
Capra hircus (goat) is the source of this 566-nucleotide long non-coding RNA. RefSeq lists it as uncharacterized. Lineage: Eukaryota; Metazoa; Chordata; Mammalia; Artiodactyla; Bovidae. The record is from RefSeq and is a predicted model, not a curated record. The transcript is spliced from 4 exons.